This is a long non-coding RNA of Cyprinus carpio (common carp), 1489 nucleotides long. The record is from Ensembl. Lineage: Eukaryota; Metazoa; Chordata; Actinopteri; Cypriniformes; Cyprinidae.
ACUGUAGGCACACACUAAAAAAUGCUGGGUUAUUUAAUCUACCCAACCGCUGGGUUAUGAAAUGCUUUACCCAUUAUGGGUUAUUUAUAUGGAAUUUGGGUUAUUUUGUGCAACUCUUGCGUUGAGUCAAAAUCCAUCAACCCAACUUAUAUCGGUUGACCCAGCACGUGGGUUGUUUGUGCUUCGAACCUCAUCACCUCAUCAUCACCAGAGUCCACACACCGAGCGCUCGUCACAGCAGAGAACCUGACUGACUGGUCAUGCAGCGAGGCCAAUAAAUAAUAAAAGAUAUCAAAAAGGCACUGGCAUCGGGUUUGGUUCAGUCAUUUGCCUGUUUGAAAGACUCCUCAAGCAGUGGCAGCGAAAUAUGGUACACCCCAGGACGGAGCCAACGGCCAGCCACUGGAUUCCUGGAGGAAAGGCUGCAGAAUGUCAGGAAGCGGCUGAGAUCAACCAGCAAGUCGCGGAGCAUGGCACAGACGACACCAGCACAAAUGCCAAAUGAUGGCGCUCUUGCCAGGGCUCUCAUACCAGAAUGUACCAUAUCAGAUGAAUGUGCGUCACAGUUUAAAGAAUGGUUGAGAAACAAUUCUCAGCCCCUCAGCCAGAUAGAGACCUACAUGCAGAACACAGCAGUCUACAGGGCCAAGAGGAUUAGGGACAACAAUUGGACCAUCGAUCAGAUCCUCGAAGAGUUCCCUCGCUUAAUGACCAAAGGCAUGAUUGCACAGGACUUUCUUGUCCUAUAUGGGGAUGCUGCAUCAAAGUUGUUUGAAACUUGGCUACCCAUUUAUGCUGAGAAGAUCCUGUACCUGGCAAGACAGGAGGGGAAGCUAACAUUGCCCCUGGAUGGAUUAACACCAGAUGGUGUUGGGGAACUCGCCCUGAGACAGUUGCCAGCCUUGCUUCCACCUACAACUUACAAAGUUGGCCGUGGACGCGGUGUGAAAGUAGUUCGCCACACCAUUCAGGAAUGCAGCUUGGCCUUCAUCAACCAUAAGCCUCCUGGAAUAAACAUGGUGUACCAUGAGGCCAAGGCAUGCAAGCCAUACCCCCACAUCCUGACACUGGGAAAUGAUCAGAGUGCAUUUCAGGCCUUCGUCAUAAUAGCUGGACAGGCCCUGGAACAAGAAACACUGCUUCAGGCCAUUGAUGUCUGCUUCAAGGCAUUCUUCAUCUUUGUGCCCAUUGUGAACAUGUGUGGGAAUUCAUACAGAAUGUGAUAUAUGAACUCCCAGGAGGGGAGUCUAAAAUGGUUAAGUUUAUUAAAACUAGAAUACUCGCUUGCAAGUAGAGCUAAUGGCUCUUAAAAGCAGCAUUUAGGAAUUUGAAUUUGUUCAAUAUAGAGCUGCUGACUUUUGGCCUGUGGAAUGUUCAGCCAGUUCAAUCGAAAUUGUUGUUUUGCUCUGAAUGUUUUCCAACCUGAGUGAACUGCACCAGUUCCACUAUAUUGUCGAUAUUAAUGUAAUAAAUUUUUUCAAAGAUUCCA